This 28-nucleotide non-coding RNA is filed under the name Rattus norvegicus (Norway rat). Lineage: Eukaryota; Metazoa; Chordata; Mammalia; Rodentia; Muridae. The record is from RNAcentral.
AGCCAACAGGCAACUGGGGAUAGUGACU